GGGGACGACGUCAAGUCAUCAUGGCCCUUACGACCAGGGCUACACACGUGCUACAAUGGCGUAUACAAAGGGAGGCGACCUCGCGAGAGCAAGCGGACCUCAUAAAGUACGUCUAAGUCCGGAUUGGAGUCUGCAACUCGACUCCAUGAAGUCGGAAUCGCUAGUAAUCGUGAAUCAGAAUGUCACGGUGAAUACGUUCCCGGGCCUUGUACACACCGCCCGUCACACCAUGGGAGUGGGUUGCACCAGAAGUAGAUAGCUUAACCUUCGGGAGGGCGUUUACCACGGUGUGGUCCAUGACUGGGGUGAAGUCGUAACAAGGUAACCGUAGGGGAACCUGCGGUUGGAUCACCUCCUUACGAAGA
Molecule: ribosomal RNA, 365 nt
Filed under: Gilliamella apicola
Lineage: Bacteria; Pseudomonadati; Pseudomonadota; Gammaproteobacteria; Orbales; Orbaceae
Description: bacterial SSU rRNA
Rfam family: Bacterial small subunit ribosomal RNA
Source: RNAcentral